This 252-nucleotide ribosomal RNA is filed under the name uncultured bacterium. RNAcentral describes it as "partial 16S ribosomal RNA". It matches the Rfam family "Bacterial small subunit ribosomal RNA", at positions 524 to 775 of the family's 1533-position model. The record is from RNAcentral.
UACGUAGGGGGCAAGCGUUGUCCGGAUUUAUUGGGCGUAAAGAGCGUGUAGGCGGCCAAAUAGGUCGGUUGUGAAAACUGGAGGCUUAACCUCCAGACGUCGACCGAAACCAUUUGGCUAGAGUCCGGAAGAGGAGAGCGGAAUUCCUGGUGUAGCGGUGAAAUGCGCAGAUAUCAGGAAGAACACCCGUGGCGAAGGCGGCUCUCUGGGACGGUACUGACGCUGAGACGCGAAAGCGUGGGGAGCGAACAG